RNAcentral lists this ribosomal RNA (672 nucleotides) under Triticum aestivum (bread wheat). RNAcentral's name for it is "partial small subunit ribosomal RNA". Lineage: Eukaryota; Viridiplantae; Streptophyta; Magnoliopsida; Poales; Poaceae. The record is from RNAcentral.
AUGGGAUCGGUCGCCGCACGGCAUCAUGAUCGGGAUCGAGCGGUCGGCGCCGAUGACCAGGCAGUCCUGUGCGCCAACUUCUGCCGGCCGGGCGACGGGUCGUGGAGCCCGGUGGAGUGCUCGGAGCUGGACCAAGUCAGCAGCAUCACCUACUGCGACGGCGUGUUCUACCUCUUCGACGGCGUGUUCUACCAAGUCCACGCUCGUCGUGUCGUUCGCCGAUUUCCUCGUGAUCGUCAGGACGCACUUCCUGCACCCCGGCGAAUCGGUCGGCUCGAGGGAGCUCUUCAAGGCCUUCCGCUGGGAGCCUGGGACCGCCGCCGCCGGAACCGCACGGGGUGGGCCGAGGUCGACGACAUCGGCGACCGCGCCGUGUUCGUGGACGGCUUCUGCGUCGGGGCCAACGGGGUACGGAGGAACUGCAUGUACGUGGCGAGCUCGUACCAGGACGGGAGUUACACCAAGGGAAGGUACAUCGUCUCCGUGCUCGACCUCGCCGGCCUCACCACCGAGCGUCUCUCCCUCGGGAACUUGGGCAACUGCCGGUGCCGUCCAUUCUGCCAUUGGCCUUCCUGGAUUCAUGCCCAAUCUGCACUGAUCCAAAUCCAACAACGCACGCGCAUUGAGGUUGCAGGAAAUAGAAGCUGUUGGUUCGGAUCCGUAUUUGGAUGA